CAAAUGUUUCAUCAAUAUCAUAAGCUCUGGACUGUUUCUUCAACGUAACAGGAAAAAGUCAUCAUGGAGCGCAUUGUUUCACUUGGUUGUCUUCUGCUUAUUGCUGGUUUGAUCAAUGAGGCUCAAUGUAGUCACUUCCUGAGAUCCCCCUUAUUGGAAGAAGAAUCCAUCAACCGAGAUGGACUUCCUUCUUAUGAGUCCCUGAUGAAGCCACUGGUUGAAAAUUGCAAAGAAAUGCGUAAAACUGGGAAAGUUAACGUGGAAUGUAGGUUGUUUUCAAGUAGAAACUUCAAAGGAUACUCUAUUCUACCUUUUGAAACGGUAAUCGGCAAGCUUUAUGACAUCUGUUUGAUAGAGCAAUUCAUUUCUCCAACCAAAUCCCAACCAAUGUGGUGCAGUGAACUUCAAUCGCCCAGUGGAGAGUAUGUUGUUCCAUCAUUUGAGGAUAUGCUCAAAGAAAUCCCGAGCAAUUGUAAAGAGGUUGAUACGAGUGGUUCAACAACCUACGAGAACCUUUGGUGCACAGUUUUCGGAUUUGAAUGAUUAUCUCGUGACGUUCUCUCAGCUUCUGACAACGACCUAUUGAUGAAUUGGGAUCAAAUCAAGUCAAUCAAAGCCAUCAAAAAUAUAUCAUGAAUAUGCUAAUGUUCCCUCUCCAUUGUGCAUUAUGCACUGUUAUUGUUUUUCUUUUAUGUAAGAGGUUCAGAGUCUACUGUAAAUAUUUUUGCUUCCAAGUCGAAGCUGUGUGGCUGAUAUUUUCUUUUUCCUUCUUCUUUUUCUCUUUGGAGUGUGGUAAAUGAUAUCUCGAAUAAAGCUUUGUUCUGACUAGA
Long non-coding RNA from Tigriopus californicus, 830 nucleotides. RefSeq lists it as uncharacterized. Lineage: Eukaryota; Metazoa; Arthropoda; Copepoda; Harpacticoida; Harpacticidae. The record is from RefSeq and is a predicted model, not a curated record. The transcript is spliced from 2 exons.